Molecule: ribosomal RNA, 651 nt
Filed under: Pseudoalteromonas arctica
Lineage: Bacteria; Pseudomonadati; Pseudomonadota; Gammaproteobacteria; Alteromonadales; Pseudoalteromonadaceae
Description: bacterial SSU rRNA
Rfam family: Bacterial small subunit ribosomal RNA
Source: RNAcentral
CCAAGUGGGAUUAGCUAGUUGGUGAGGUAAUGGCUCACCAAGGCGACGAUCCCUAGCUGGUUUGAGAGGAUGAUCAGCCACACUGGGACUGAGACACGGCCCAGACUCCUACGGGAGGCAGCAGUGGGGAAUAUUGCACAAUGGGCGCAAGCCUGAUGCAGCCAUGCCGCGUGUGUGAAGAAGGCCUUCGGGUUGUAAAGCACUUUCAGUCAGGAGGAAAGGUUAACGGUUAAUACCCGUUAGCUGUGACGUUACUGACAGAAGAAGCACCGGCUAACUCCGUGCCAGCAGCCGCGGUAAUACGGAGGGUGCGAGCGUUAAUCGGAAUUACUGGGCGUAAAGCGUACGCAGGCGGUUUGUUAAGCGAGAUGUGAAAGCCCCGGGCUCAACCUGGGAACUGCAUUUCGAACUGGCAAACUAGAGUGUGAUAGAGGGUGGUAGAAUUUCAGGUGUAGCGGUGAAAUGCGUAGAGAUCUGAAGGAAUACCGAUGGCGAAGGCAGCCACCUGGGUCAACACUGACGCUCAUGUACGAAAGCGUGGGGAGCAAACGGGAUUAGAUACCCCGGUAGUCCACGCCGUAAACGAUGUCUACUAGAAGCUCGGAGCCUCGGUUCUGUUUUUCAAAGCUAACGCAUUAAGUAGACCGCCUG